ACAUUGUGUGUGACAGUGACAUCUCUCACUCUACUGAUGACAAUGGUUGAUUUGAUUGAUCUGACUGGCUAGGCUGGUAUCACUUUCCUGCCUCAUGAUUCCAUGUGUCCUUCACCCAAAGUUGCACACCAGGUGGCAGAGAAUGAUCGUUCUGUAUUGAAAAAGUGUACCACUCUGUAGUGACUGGAUUACAAAGAAAACCCCCCCCCCAUUUUUUUCUAUUUUUAAAAAUUCUUUAAACAUCUCUUUGAGUGAACAAUGUGAUUCCAGGUUUUAACAUAUAUACAUACAUACAUACAUACAU
Molecule: small nuclear RNA, 304 nt
Filed under: Ophiophagus hannah (king cobra)
Lineage: Eukaryota; Metazoa; Chordata; Lepidosauria; Squamata; Elapidae
Description: 7SK RNA
Rfam family: 7SK RNA
About the family: 7SK was discovered as an abundant small nuclear RNA in the mid-70s but a possible function has only recently been suggested.
Source: Rfam by way of RNAcentral